GCUGAAGUUGCCAAGCCUGGUCAAAGGCGAGGGACUCAAGAUCCCUUCUCGUAGGAGUUCGCCGGUUCGAAUCCGGUCUUCAGCACCA
This 88-nucleotide transfer RNA is filed under the name Thermoplasmata archaeon. RNAcentral's name for it is "tRNA-Leu". It matches the Rfam family "tRNA". From Rfam's summary of the family: Transfer RNA (tRNA) molecules are approximately 80 nucleotides in length. Their secondary structure includes four short double-helical elements and three loops (D, anti-codon, and T loops). Lineage: Archaea; Methanobacteriati; Thermoplasmatota; Thermoplasmata. RNAcentral also lists the same sequence under 3 other names. The record is from RNAcentral.